This 159-nucleotide ribosomal RNA is filed under the name Anisosepalum alboviolaceum. RNAcentral's name for it is "5.8S ribosomal RNA". Lineage: Eukaryota; Viridiplantae; Streptophyta; Magnoliopsida; Lamiales; Acanthaceae. The record is from RNAcentral.
NNCCCGGUGAACCAUCGAGUCUUUGAACGCAAGUUGCGCCUGAAGCCAUCAGGCCGAGGGCACGCCUGCCUGGGCGUCACGCAUCGCGUCGACCACCCUCCACCUGCAUGGGGGUACGGAAAUUGGCCUCCCGUGAGCAUGUUAACAUGCGCNCGGCCC